This 809-nucleotide ribosomal RNA is filed under the name uncultured bacterium. RNAcentral describes it as "bacterial SSU rRNA". It matches the Rfam family "Bacterial small subunit ribosomal RNA", at positions 54 to 876 of the family's 1533-position model. The record is from RNAcentral.
CAUGCAAGUCGAACGAGAGAGAGGGAGCUUGCUUCCUCAAUCGAGUGGCGAACGGGUGAGUAACGCGUGAGGAACCUGCCUCAAAGAGGGGGACAACAGUUGGAAACGACUGCUAAUACCGCAUAAGCCCACGGGUCGGCAUCGACCAAGGGGAAAAGGAGCAAUCCGCUUUGAGAUGGCCUCGCGUCCGAUUAGCUAGUUGGUGAGGUAAUGGCCCACCAAGGCAACGAUCGGUAGCCGGACUGAGAGGUUGAACGGCCACAUUGGGACUGAGACACGGCCCAGACUCCUACGGGAGGCAGCAGUGGGGAAUAUUGCACAAUGGGGGAAACCCUGAUGCAGCGACGCCGCGUGGAGGAAGAAGGUCUUCGGAUUGUAAACUCCUGUUGUUGAGGAAGAUAAUGACGGUACUCAACAAGGAAGUGACGGCUAACUACGUGCCAGCAGCCGCGGUAAAACGUAGGUCACAAGCGUUGUCCGGAAUUACUGGGUGUAAAGGGAGCGCAGGCGGGAAGACAAGUUGGAAGUGAAAUCUAUGGGCUCAACCCAUAAACUGCUUUCAAAACUGUUUUUCUUGAGUAGUGCAGAGGUAGGCGGAAUUCCCGGUGUAGCGGUGGAAUGCGUAGAUAUCGGGAGGAACACCAGUGGCGAAGGCGGCCUACUGGGCACCAACUGACGCUGAGGCUCGAAAGUGUGGGUAGCAAACAGGAUUAGAUACCCUGGUAGUCCACACUGUAAACGAUGAUUACUAGGUGUUGGAGGAUUGACCCCUUCAGUGCCGCAGUUAACACAAUAAGUAAUCCACCUGG